This 70-nucleotide transfer RNA is filed under the name Dipodomys ordii (Ord's kangaroo rat). It matches the Rfam family "tRNA". From Rfam's summary of the family: Transfer RNA (tRNA) molecules are approximately 80 nucleotides in length. Their secondary structure includes four short double-helical elements and three loops (D, anti-codon, and T loops). Further hydrogen bonds mediate the characteristic L-shaped molecular structure. tRNAs have two regions of fundamental functional importance: the anti-codon, which is responsible for specific mRNA codon recognition, and the 3' end, to which the tRNAs corresponding amino acid is attached (by aminoacyl-tRNA synthetases). tRNAs cope with the degeneracy of the genetic code in two manners: having more than one tRNA (with a specific anti-codon) for a particular amino acid; and 'wobble' base-pairing, i.e. permitting non-standard base-pairing at the 3rd anti-codon position. Lineage: Eukaryota; Metazoa; Chordata; Mammalia; Rodentia; Heteromyidae. The record is from Rfam by way of RNAcentral.
GGGAAAGUAGCUUAGUAGUAGAGUGCUUGCCUUGCAUGCAUGAAGCCCUGGGUUCAAUUCCUCAGUACCA